This is a long non-coding RNA of Mus caroli (Ryukyu mouse), 629 nucleotides long. RefSeq lists it as uncharacterized. The record is from RefSeq and is a predicted model, not a curated record. Lineage: Eukaryota; Metazoa; Chordata; Mammalia; Rodentia; Muridae.
AUUUGUUGACAUAACCCAAAACUGCCAAGGACUGCUGAUAACCACCACAAAGAGGGAAGAACCAGAUUCUGGACCAGAUUCCCUGAACCCAACAGAAGGAUGCCUGGGUUUGGACCUCCAGGACUCUGAGAGGGGGGUGAGGUGACGAGACCAGGCUGUAUUUGAAUACUCUAAUGAUCUUGAGAGCCCUAGAUGAUCAAAAGUGGCAGUAUCAGACAUCUGCUGUUAUCUAGCAACACCAACAUCUGCUACAGAGCUGGAAAAGGCAACCCAUUGCUUCAGAUUCCAAAAGAGUCUCAGCAGCAUCCUAGCUCAGCAGGAAUCACAGGAAACACAGCAUCUUCCUACCCUACCUGCCUGCUUGCAAAAGAUAUCUGGGCUGCUGAGACACCCACAUGCUGUGUCUGGGUUGGCAUGGUCUCAGGGUUUCUCUUCCUUAAGUAGGAAGACUAUCCAACGGCAAGAAAGCACCAACAUGUUCUUGGUAACUAACUUUUGGUGUUAUACCCAAAGUAGUUAACUGAGCGAAUGAGUGAAUGGACACACACUCCCCUGAAAGGGCUUAUGGGCAUACUAAACUAUUAUUAGUACAGAGUGUACGGUGUCCAUGUAAAUAUACAUUUCUUCUG